UCGUACAACCGAGGUGCUAGGGCUGUCGCUGACCCUUCGAAGGUCGUGCACGCCCGAGCGCUCUCACCACAAUCCAUCUCACCCCUUUGUGCAUCACCGCGUGGGUCCCCCUUUGCGGGAGGGCCCGCGUUUUCACAUAAAACUUGAUACAGUUUAGAAUGUUUAUUUUUGCGGUCACACGCAAUCAAUA
Molecule: unclassified non-coding RNA, 190 nt
Filed under: uncultured Russula
Lineage: Eukaryota; Fungi; Basidiomycota; Agaricomycetes; Russulales; Russulaceae
Description: sequence contains ITS1
Source: RNAcentral